Molecule: ribosomal RNA, 404 nt
Filed under: uncultured bacterium
Lineage: Bacteria
Description: bacterial SSU rRNA
Rfam family: Bacterial small subunit ribosomal RNA
Source: RNAcentral
UGGGGAAUAUUGGACAAUGGGGGAAACCCUGAUCCAGCAAUGCCGCGUGAAUGAAGAAGGCCUUAGGGUUGUAAAGUUCUUUCACCUGUGAAGAUAAUGACGGUAGCAGGAUAAGAAGCCCCGGCUAACUCCGUGCCAGCAGCCGCGGUAAGACGGAGGGGGCUAGCGUUGUUCGGAAUGACUGGGCGUAAAGGGCGCGUAGGCGGUUUUUUAAGUGAGGCGUGAAAGCCCUGGGCUUAACCCAGGAAUUGCGUUUCAGACUGGAAAACUUGAGUACGAGAGAGGUAAGUGGAAUUCCUAGUGUAGAGGUGAAAUUCGUAGAUAUUAGGAAGAACACCAGUGGCGAAGGCGGCUUACUGGCUCGUAACUGACGCUGAGGCGCGAAAGCGUGGGGAGCAAACAGG